AGAUAACGACAUGCACUUGCGCUGGAAGAUUAUGUCAUAUUGAAGGAUUUUGUUGUCUGAAGAUAAUAUUGUCUAAUGACAGUUAUUAAUUGCCAAAUAGUUGUCUUCAUUCCAGCCGCGAUUUUACUUUGGACAUCAAGUAGCAACCCAACACUACCAAAAUCAUCAAAAAUGUUCUAAAAAUCUCAAUAAAUGAACUGAGCUUCAGUUGGUUUUUGGGUCAUGAACCACCACUUGAGGACCAGUCUGCUAUCACACCUGUCCCAAUU
Molecule: long non-coding RNA, 269 nt
Organism: Sinocyclocheilus anshuiensis
Lineage: Eukaryota; Metazoa; Chordata; Actinopteri; Cypriniformes; Cyprinidae
Exons: 3
Source: RefSeq, a predicted model, not a curated record